GUCCAGACUCCUACGGGAGGCAGCAGUGGGGAAUAUUGCACAAUGGGGGAAACCCUGAUGCAGCGACGCCGCGUGAGCGAUGAAGUAUUUCGGUAUGUAAAGCUCUAUCAGCAGGGAAGAAAAUGACGGUACCUGACUAAGAAGCCCCGGCUAACUACGUGCCAGCAGCCGCGGUAAUACGUAGGUGGCAAGCGUUGUCCGGAUUUACUGGGUGUAAAGGGCGUGUAGCCGGGCUGACAAGUCAGAUGUGAAAUCCGGGGGCUCAACCCCCGAACUGCAUUUGAAACUGUUGGUCUUGAGUAUCGGAGAGGCAGGCGGAAUUCCUAGUGUAGCGGUGAAAUGCGUAGAUAUUAGGAGGAACACCAGUGGCGAAGGCGGUCUGCUGGACAGCAACUGACGGUGAGGCGCGAAAGCGUGGGGAGCAAACAGGAUUAGAUACCCGGGUAC
This 447-nucleotide ribosomal RNA is filed under the name uncultured bacterium. RNAcentral's name for it is "partial 16S ribosomal RNA". It matches the Rfam family "Bacterial small subunit ribosomal RNA", at positions 329 to 793 of the family's 1533-position model. The record is from RNAcentral.